CUUGUACUGUGAAACUGCGAAUGGCUCAUUAAAUCAGUUAUCGUUUAUUUGAUAGUACCUUACUACAUGGAUACCUGUGGUAAUUCUAGAGCUAAUACAUGCUAAAAACCCCGACUUCAGGAAGGGGUGUAUUUAUUAGAUAAAAAACCAACGCCCUUCGGGGCUCCUUGGUGAAUCAUAAUAACUUAACGAAUCGCAUGGCCUUGCGCCGGCGAUGGUUCAUUCAAAUUUCUGCCCUAUCAACUUUCGAUGGUAGGAUAGUGGCCUACCAUGGUGGCAACGGGUAACGGGGAAUUAGGGUUCGAUUCCGGAGAGGGAGCCUGAGAAACGGCUACCACAUCCAAGGAAGGCAGCAGGCGCGCAAAUUACCCAAUCCCGAUACGGGGAGGUAGUGACAAUAAAUACUGAUACGGGGCUCUUUUGGGUCUCGUAAUUGGAAUGAGAACAAUUUAAAUCCCUUAACGAGGAACAAUUGGAGGGCAAGUCUGGUGCCAGCAGCCGCGGUAAUUCCAGCUCCAAUAGCGUAUAUUAAAGUUGUUGCAGUUAAAAAGCUCGUAGUUGAACCUUGGGCCUGGCUGGCCGGUCCGCCUCACCGCGAGUACUGGUCCGGCUGGGCCUUUCCUUCUGGGGAACCUCAUGGCCUUCACUGGCUGUGGGGGGAACCAGGACUUUUACUGUGAAAAAAUUAGAGUGUUCAAAGCAGGCCUUUGCUCGAAUACAUUAGCAUGGAAUAAUAGAAUAGGACGUGUGGUUCUAUUUUGUUGGUUUCUAGGACCGCCGUAAUGAUUAAUAGGGAUAGUCGGGGGCGUCAGUAUUCAGCUGUCAGAGGUGAAAUUCUUGGAUUUGCUGAAGACUAACUACUGCGAAAGCAUUCGCCAAGGAUGUUUUCAUUAAUCAGGGAACGAAAGUUAGGGGAUCGAAGACGAUCAGAUACCGUCGUAGUCUUAACCAUAAACUAUGCCGACUAGGGAUCGGACGGGAUUCUAUAAUGACCCGUUCGGCACCUUACGAGAAAUCAAA
RNAcentral lists this ribosomal RNA (1020 nucleotides) under Penicillium aurantiogriseum. RNAcentral describes it as "SSU rRNA". It matches the Rfam family "Eukaryotic small subunit ribosomal RNA", at positions 73 to 1102 of the family's 1831-position model. The record is from RNAcentral. Lineage: Eukaryota; Fungi; Ascomycota; Eurotiomycetes; Eurotiales; Aspergillaceae. RNAcentral also lists the same sequence under 1 other name.